Molecule: microRNA precursor, 180 nt
Filed under: Oryza nivara
Lineage: Eukaryota; Viridiplantae; Streptophyta; Magnoliopsida; Poales; Poaceae
Description: MIR812 microRNA precursor family
Rfam family: MIR812 microRNA precursor family
Source: Rfam by way of RNAcentral
GACAAGUGUAGUAGUACUACGUUUGACCAUUUAUCUUAUUUGAAAAUUUUUUAUUAUUAAACUUUUUAUAGUACAUGAAUAAUACUUUGUGUGUAACACUUUUUUUCAAUUUUUUUCAUAAGUUUUUAAAUAAGAUGGACGGUCAAACAUUGGAUGCAGGUACUCAUGGCUACACUUAUU